CUGGAAAAAGCUCUGCGUUGGACACAGCUGAGCACCUUAGGCACCCCGGACGGGGCUGACCCUCUGCUGGCUCAGGAGGAAGCACAGAGACGUGCUCCAGUGGCAUUUCCGACUUGGAUGAAAGCAGGAAAGAGCUGAAGCGUCUGGGGAGCCUCCAGGAGGUGACCUCGGGCUGAAAGUGCCGAUAUGCAACAGCCUGCUCCCCCGGACCUGAGCCAAGGGGCUGCUCUGAGCAGGGCAGGGUGGGCCUGGAGGGGAGCCAGGGACCCAAGAGACUUCCGAGGGCCCCAGGAGCCAGGAAGCAGCACCCUGGCUCCGCAAACGUUAGAUCACAAAGGGCGGCUCUGCGGUUCCCUGCUUUGACUCCUCUGCCAAGAGUGAAACAGCACAGCCUCGAGGUGUUUUAGAAGCUUGUUUUGAAAAAUGCA
Molecule: long non-coding RNA, 428 nt
Organism: Homo sapiens (human)
Lineage: Eukaryota; Metazoa; Chordata; Mammalia; Primates; Hominidae
Source: Ensembl